RNAcentral lists this long non-coding RNA (213 nucleotides) under Linum usitatissimum (flax). Its description in RNAcentral is "long non-coding RNA (LUSI_LNC001365)". Lineage: Eukaryota; Viridiplantae; Streptophyta; Magnoliopsida; Malpighiales; Linaceae. The record is from RNAcentral.
CUUAGUCCCUAUGGCUAUCCCUACAUUACUAGGUUUAAACACUCCAGGAAUUAGCCACUCUUUCGAGCUUUAGUUUACUUUACAUGAAUGUUAAAUACUAUGAGACGACUGUGCAUGGAGUUGUGAUGCAUCUCAAAUGUGUUAUAUCUUGCAGAGGAACAGGAGAAGGAGAGACAGGCAGCUGAAACCAUUGAAGAAGAUUAGCAAAAGGAA